This 298-nucleotide long non-coding RNA is filed under the name Erythranthe guttata (spotted monkey flower). Its description in RNAcentral is "long non-coding RNA (EGUT_LNC001229)". The record is from RNAcentral. Lineage: Eukaryota; Viridiplantae; Streptophyta; Magnoliopsida; Lamiales; Phrymaceae.
UGCACUAACUCGCACGAAACUACCUCGUUUUAUGACACUGCCAUUUAUAAACCCUAAAUGACUAAAUCCCCCUUUUUUCUUAAUUUGUUUUUUAAUUAAUAAUUAAACCUUGUGCCUUCAUGUUAACGUUUUCGAUUUACCCCCUUUUCUUGCCCUAAUGAAGUCCAAUCGUAAUAGCAAUUCACUACUUUCUACGGAUUAGAAGAUCAGAAGUCCAAAGAAACAUUACAUUGGCAAUAAUUUCAUCAGAGAUUUGAGAAUCAAUGGAUGAUGCCUACGCUAGAUCCGUCGGCGAGGU